CUACGGGGUGCUCCAGUGGGGAAUAUUGGACAAUGGGGGAAACCCUGAUCCAGCAAUGCCGCGUGUGUGAAGAAGGCCUGCGGGUUGUAAAGCACUUUCGGUUGGGAGGACUGCUUCUAGCACUAAUAUUGUUGGAAGUUGACGUUACCUUCAGAAGAAGCACCGGCUAACUCCGUGCCAGCAGCCGCGGUAAUACGGAGGGUGCAAGGUUAAUCGGAAUUACUGGGCGUAAAGCGCGCGUAGGCGGCUAGAUCAGUCGGGUGUGAAAGCCCCGGGCUUAACCUGGGAACUGCAUCCGAUACUGUCUAGCUUGAGUACAGGAGAGGAGAGUGGAAUUCCACAUGUAGCGGUGAAAUGCGUAGAUAUGUGGAGGAACACCAAUGGCGAAGGCAGCUCUCUGGCCUUAUACUGACGCUGAGGUGCGAAAGCGUGGGGAGCAAACAGGAUUAGAUACCCGAGUAGUC
Molecule: ribosomal RNA, 464 nt
Filed under: uncultured bacterium
Lineage: Bacteria
Description: partial 16S ribosomal RNA
Rfam family: Bacterial small subunit ribosomal RNA
Source: RNAcentral